RNAcentral lists this unclassified non-coding RNA (86 nucleotides) under Kaistella treverensis. Its description in RNAcentral is "Chryseobacterium treverense Flavo-1 RNA". Lineage: Bacteria; Pseudomonadati; Bacteroidota; Flavobacteriia; Flavobacteriales; Weeksellaceae. The record is from RNAcentral.
UUUUCGCAAGAGGGAUCGCAGUGGAAAUCCCGGAAUAACGGCCGCCAGGCCGGUAUGAGGAAUUGCAACGAAGAGCCCGGCUUUUU